CAAUCUUCUUGUUCUUUAGCCUGGGUCAAUAUACAUCUCACAACUCCUAGAAAUUCAGACGUCUCAAUGAUUUCUUCCUCUUCUUCAUAUUCAUCUACCAAAUUGGUCUCUGCUUCGUAGACUUCUUCUCCAUAAUUCUCUAGGGUCUCAGGAUCUUCUUCUUCUACUUCUCCUAUGUGUAACGCUCUAGUGGGGCAUUGGCUUGCAUAAUGUCCUAUUUUAUGACACCUAAAACAAGGGACAUUAU
This 247-nucleotide long non-coding RNA is filed under the name Phoenix dactylifera (date palm). Its description in RNAcentral is "long non-coding RNA (PDAC_LNC008554)". Lineage: Eukaryota; Viridiplantae; Streptophyta; Magnoliopsida; Arecales; Arecaceae. The record is from RNAcentral.